UCAAAGAGGGAUCCAGUGAAAUUGUAGUGGAGGUGAAAAUUCCUCCUACCCGCGGCAAGACGGAAAGACCCCGUGAACCUUUACUAUAGCUUGACACUGAACAUUGAGCCUUGAUGUGUAGGAUAGGUGGGAGGCUUAGAAGUGUGGACGCCAGUCUGCAUGGAGCCGACCUUGAAAUACCACCCUUUAAUGUUUGAUGUUCUAACGUGGACCCGUGAUCCGGGUUGCGGACAGUGUCUGGUGGGUAGUUUGACUGGGGCGGUCUCCUCCCAAAGCGUAACGGAGGAGCACGAAGGUUAGCUAAUCCUGGUCGGACAUCAGGAGGUUAGUGCAAUGGCAUAAGCUAGCUUGACUGCGAGCGUGACGGCGCGAGCAGGUGCGAAAGCAGGUCAUAGUGAUCCGGUGGUUCUGAAUGGAAGGGCCAUCGCUCAACGGAUAAAAGGUACUCCGGGGAUAACAGGCUGAUACCGCCCAAGAGUUCAUAUCGACGGCGGUGUUUGGCACCUCGAUGUCGGCUCAUCACAUCCUGGGGCUGAAGUAGGUCCCAAGGGUAUGGCUGUUCGCCAUUUAAAGUGGUACGCGAGCUGGGUUUAGAACGUCGUGAGACAGUUCGGUCCCUAUCUGCCGUGGGCGCUGGAGAAUUGAGGGGGGCUGCUCCUAGUACGAGAGGACCGGAGUGGACGCAUCACUGGUGUUCGGGUUGUCAUGCCAAUGGCACUGCCCGGUAGCUAAAUGCGGAAGAGAUAAGUGCUGAAAGCAUCUAAGCACGAAACUUGCCCCGAGAUGAGUUCUCCCUGAGACUUUAAGUCUCCUGAAGGAACGUUGAAGACGACGACGUUGAUAGGCCGGGUGUGUAAGCGCAGCGAUGCGUUGAGCUAACCGGUACUAAUGAACCGUGAGGCUUAACCUU
This is a ribosomal RNA of 910 nucleotides. It matches the Rfam family "Bacterial large subunit ribosomal RNA", at positions 2021 to 2925 of the family's 2925-position model.